This 703-nucleotide small RNA is filed under the name Pongo abelii (Sumatran orangutan). RNAcentral's name for it is "retained intron". The record is from RNAcentral. Lineage: Eukaryota; Metazoa; Chordata; Mammalia; Primates; Hominidae.
CGGCUUUAUGACAUCAUCUUACAGAAUCUUGUGGAAUUGCUCCAGCUUCCUGGUUUAGAGGAAGACAAAGUCUUCCAGAAAGAGAUAGGCCUCAAGAUUCUGGUGUUCAAAGCUUACAGGUGUUUUUUCAUUGCUCAGUCCUAUGCGCUGGUGAAGAAGUGGAGCGAAGCACUUGUCCUGCAUGAUAGCAUCCUGAAAUAUGCAGAUGAAGUAAAUUCUGAUGCUGGCACCUUCAAGAACAGCCUAAAGGUGAGAGGUUGGCCUCUCCUUGUUUGUAAGCCCUGGCACGUUAUGGAGUUGGCUGUGGAGGAGCCGUGAGGGUACAACAGCUGGGCUCCACCUCAGGCUGGUCCUCCCUGGCUGUGCAUGGGACCUGGUGUGGCCCUGACUGCCCAGGAGCUGCAGGCUGUGUCACUCAUGGCUGUGCUCCAGGCCUGAGGAGGAUUUAGGUUUGAAGAAGGGAAGGCGUUUUUCUGAUUUCAAAGAAACAAAAACCUCCACAGGAAAACCUGAAGUACUGCUCUCAGACUUGACUACACGUUGAAAUCUCUUAGGAAGAUUUUUUUCAAUGUAGAUGUCUGGGUGGCACCCCCAGAGAUUGUGGUUCUAAUCAGUGUGAGGGAUCUGAAGUGGGCACUGGGACUUUGAAAGGCCCCUUAAUGAUUUUGACAUGCAACAAAGUGAGAAGCACUGGUGCAGCCAU